Molecule: ribosomal RNA, 430 nt
Filed under: bacterium
Lineage: Bacteria
Description: partial 16S ribosomal RNA
Rfam family: Bacterial small subunit ribosomal RNA
Source: RNAcentral
UGGGGAAUAUUGGACAAUGGGCGAAAGCCUGAUCCAGCCAUGCCGCGUGUGUGAAGAAGGCCUUUUGGUUGUAAAGCACUUUAAGCGAGGAGGAGGCUACUUAGAUUAAUACUCUAGGAUAGUGGACGUUACUCGCAGAAUAAGCACCGGCUAACUCUGUGCCAGCAGCCGCGGUAAUACAGAGGGUGCGAGCGUUAAUCGGAUUUACUGGGCGUAAAGCGUGCGUAGGCGGCUUUUUAAGUCGGAUGUGAAAUCCCUGAGCUUAACUUAGGAAUUGCAUUCGAUACUGGGAAGCUAGAGUAUGGGAGAGGAUGGUAGAAUUCCAGGUGUAGCGGUGAAAUGCGUAGAGAUCUGGAGGAAUACCGAUGGCGAAGGCAGCCAUCUGGCCUAAUACUGACGCUGUGGUACGAAAGCAUGGGGAGCAAACAGG